UAACCUGGUUGAUCCUGCCAGUAGUCAUAUGCUGCGUUCAAGGACUAAGCCAUGCAUGUGUCAGAGUACACGGUUUGAACAAUGGGUCUGUGAAUGGCUCCUUACAUCAGCAGGCAUCUCUGUGAUAGAGUGUGGAUGGCCCCACCUGCCCAUGGAGGUCCGAUUGGAUACCCUCCAAAACCUAGUGGCUAAUACACGGUCGACCCAGUCUGCUACGUCAUCGGUCCGACAGGCCUCGGCUUGCCGGGCCAAGCAGUGGAUUACGCCCAGCUGUACUGGAAGACCAGCGCCUGGAAAUGGCAGUGUGUUUGGUUGACUCAGGCUGGUCCGAACGGACAUCCGUGCUGGCAGAGUGGUGGCGCAUGCCACAGCAUUGCUUGAUCACACAGACCUCCUGACCUAUCAGCCUGGAUGGUGGUAUCGAGGGCCACCAUGGCAAUUACGGGUGACAGAGAAUCAGGGUUCGAUUCUGGAGAAGCAGCCUGAGAAACGGCUACUACUGCUAAGGCGGGCAGCAGGCACGCAAAUUGCCCCAUGCUGAUACACAAGUGAGGCAGCGACGAACUGCAGCAAUUCCACCUGUCCUCAGUGACUGGUGGAACUUGUAAUGGAUGCAAUCCAAACACAGUGAUGAGUAUCGACUGGAGGGCAAGUCUGGUGCCAGCAGCUGCGGUAAUUCCAGCUCCAAGGGCGUAUACUAACAUUGCUGUUGUUAAAACACUUGUAGUCGGAUGCUGGGUUACAGGUCUGCUGGGUGGCAGCCGUGGGUCUCACGGUCCCUGCGUCUUCGGGCGUGGGGUSGGGUGGUCCUCGCUGGUACAACCCCCAGCAGUAUGUUCCUGUACCCGAUCUCAUGACGGUGCGAAUGGCUCCUGCUCCAAGUCUCCUUCAGUGGGGAUCGAUGCGGUUGUAUACCCAACGCUUGUGUGUUGACGUCACGGGGGGCAUGGCCCCGUGCCAUGCAGUGCCCUCAGUCCACCACCGGAGUCCACUGUCACUGCCACCGUGGAAAACUCAGUGUGCCCAAAGCAUCCAUCUUGGCUGGAUGUCCGUCCAUGGAAUGUCAAAGCAUCGACCGGAUAUGGCUAUGGAGUUGUGCUGGCCUUGGUGCCUAUCUCGGGGAACAUGGCUCAGUCCACAGUGGCACGGAGGCAUUGCUGCCGUCUGGCUGGCGGUGCCCACCCGUGUGGCUGGCGGGCUGUGUCGAUCGUCCACGAUGGGACUUCUCGGGGUGAAAGCUAUUGCAACGCCAGAGGUGAAAUUCUUAGACCGUUGCAGGAGCGACUGCAGCGAAGGCGUUCUGCAAGUGCAAGUUCGUCGAUCAAGAAUGUGAGUGUGGGGAGCAAAGAUGAUCAGACACCGUCGUAGUCCACAACUGUAAACCAUGCCAGCUCGGUGUUGUUGAAGCAAGUACACGGACUUCAUCAGCACCAUACCCCCUACAUCGAGAAAUCCAAGCYCAUGGGUUCAAGGGGGAGUACUGUCGCAAGGCUGAAACUUAAAGGAAUUGACGGAAUGGCACCACAAGGCGUGGAGUAUGCGGCUUAAUUUGACUCAACACGGGGAAUGUUACCAGGUCAGGACGUUGCUGGGAUGGACAGAUUGAGAGCUCUUUCUUGAUCCUUCGGAUGGUGGUGCAUGGCCGCUCCUGAUUGGUGGAGUGAUUUGUCUGGUUGAUUCCGAUAACGAGUGAGACAUCUGCCUCCCAAUAGCCCCAGCCUCGCACUUGUAGGGUGGCCAUCCCGUGUCACUGGUGGGUUCGCCUACCAGCCGCAGGUUGGUCCGCCUGAGAGGCCUGGGAUCAGCUUCUCUGAGGUGCUGUGUACGCUGCCAAGUGCAUGCAUGCUAGAGCCAACAGCAGGUCUGUGAUGCUCCCAGAUGUCCUGGGCCGCACGCGCACUACAUUGGCCCGAUGAAUAUGUUGUACCCUUGCUCGUCGAGACCUGCCUGGAAGUGGGUGGGAAACCCUCGGAGCCCGAAAUGGCCGUACUGGGGAUAGAUGAUUGCAACUGUCUGCCUUGAACGAGGAAUGCCUAGUAAGCGUGGGUCAUCAGCCCACACUGAUUGUGUCCCUGCCAUUUGUACACACCGCCCGUCGUUGCUACCGAUGGAAGCUGGAUAGAGCCAUCAGGAGGUUUGGAGUCGUCCUGGCUAUGGACCGAAAUUGGGCAAUGUCCAGCUUCUAGAGGAAGCAAAAGUCGUAACAAGGUUGUUGUAGGUGAACCUGCAGAAGGAUCAA
This 2239-nucleotide ribosomal RNA is filed under the name Lepocinclis horridus. RNAcentral describes it as "SSU rRNA". It matches the Rfam family "Eukaryotic small subunit ribosomal RNA". The record is from RNAcentral. Lineage: Eukaryota; Euglenozoa; Euglenophyceae; Euglenales; Phacaceae.